Molecule: ribosomal RNA, 497 nt
Filed under: uncultured bacterium
Lineage: Bacteria
Description: partial 16S ribosomal RNA
Rfam family: Bacterial small subunit ribosomal RNA
Source: RNAcentral
GACGAACGCUGGCGGCGUGCCUAAUACAUGCAAGUUGAGCGAUGAAGAUUGGUGCUUGCACCAAUUUGAAGAGCAGCGAACGGGUGAGUAACGCGUGGGGAAUCUGCCUUUGAGCGGGGGACAACAUUUGGAAACGAAUGCUAAUACCGCAUAAUAACUUUAAACAUAAGUUUUAAGUUUGAAAGAUGCAAUUGCAUCACUCAAAGAUGAUCCCGCGUUGUAUUAGCUAGUUGGUGAGGUAAAGGCCCACCAAGGCGAUGAUACAUAGCCGACCUGAGAGGGUGGUCGGCCACAUUGGGAACGAGACAAGGCCCAAACUCCUACGGGGGGCAACAGUAGGGAAACUUUGGCAAUGGACGAAAGUCUGACCGGGGAACGCCGCGGGAGUUGAGAAGGUUUUCGGAUCGGAAAAAUCUGUUGAUAGGGAAAAACGUAAGUGGGAGUGAAAAGCGCAUCAAGUGACGGUAACUACCCAGAAAGGGACGGCUAACUACGUG